ACGCGGGAAAUCUUACCGGGUCCGGACACACUGAGGAUUGACAGGCAAUAUUACAUACGUUUUGCUUCGGUAAACGCGUAUUAUGUUAAAUAUGCUAGUCCUUUCAUGAUUAUGUGAUAGGUGGUGCAUGGCCGUUCUUAGUUCGUGGAGUGAUCUGUCUGCUUAAUUGCGUUUCACUAAGGGCCUAUAAAUUUACGUGUGUUGCAUCGCACUUUGACCCCUUUCUUUAAUUAGAGAGCGCGUGUCUUAGUUUUCGCUUUGCUCAUACAAUUAGGUCCUGAAAGCAACGAACGUGACCGCAACCUCUUGUUGCCUUUAUACCAAACAUGUUUUGCGUCAAUUUUUACGAAUUGCGCGCAUUUCAUGAAAAAAGGCUUUUUAAACUAGAGGGACCGCUGUUACUUUCUUAAACCAGAGGAAGGUUGCGGCAAUAACAGGUCUGUGAUGCCCUUAGAUGUUCCGGGCUGCACACGUGCUACAAUGAUUAAUUGCAGUGAGCAUCAUCAUUUUUACACACCGCAUGCGCGAGUCCAUUUAUUCACCUUCGGGUGUUUUAAAUGUGUAUCCCUGCGCGCGGUAAAGCCUGCUUCGACCUUAAGUGGGUAAUCAAUUAGAAGUAAUGAUUUCCUUUUUUUUAGCACACAUAUAUACGGCGUCUAUGCCCGGGUUACCUUGUUGUAGCUUUUGUGCGUAUAGAUGUUUUUUCCGUAUGUGCGAUUGUCAAUUCAUGGUGGGGACAGACCAUUGUUAAUUGUUGGUCUCGGUCUUAACUAGGAAUGCCUUGUACGGGUCUUUGGUUCAACAAACCACCCGGAAUACGUCCCUGCCCUUUGUACACACCGCCCGUCGCUCUUACCGAUGGACUUCUCUGUGAGUUUGAGGGACUGGGAACGCAGGAAUUUAUUUCUGCACACCUAUGGAAACUUAAACGAACAGUGUGGUCUAAAGGAAAGAGAAGUCGUAACAAGGCAUCGGUAGGUGAACCUGCAGAAGGAUCA
RNAcentral lists this ribosomal RNA (998 nucleotides) under Cibicidoides lobatulus. RNAcentral describes it as "SSU rRNA". It matches the Rfam family "Eukaryotic small subunit ribosomal RNA", at positions 1203 to 1828 of the family's 1831-position model. Lineage: Eukaryota; Foraminifera; Rotaliida; Anomalinidae. The record is from RNAcentral.